UACGUAGGGGGCAAGCGUUGUCCGGAUUUAUUGGGCGUAAAGAGCGCGCAGGCGGUCCGGUAAGUCUGGCGUGAAAUCUCCCGGCUCAACUGGGAGGGGUCGUCGGAGACUGGCGGACUGGAGGGCAGGAGAGGGAAGUGGAAUUCCGGGUGUAGUGGUGAAAUGCGUAGAUAUCCGGAGGAACACCGGUGGCGAAGGCGGCUUCCUGGACUGUACCUGACGCUGAGGCGCGAAGGCUAGGGGAGCGAAC
Molecule: ribosomal RNA, 250 nt
Filed under: uncultured bacterium
Lineage: Bacteria
Description: partial 16S ribosomal RNA
Rfam family: Bacterial small subunit ribosomal RNA
Source: RNAcentral